Long non-coding RNA from Pezoporus flaviventris, 2008 nucleotides. RefSeq lists it as uncharacterized. Lineage: Eukaryota; Metazoa; Chordata; Aves; Psittaciformes; Psittacidae. The record is from RefSeq and is a predicted model, not a curated record. The transcript is spliced from 3 exons.
GCUGAUAAAUGUAAGGAAGGGAAAAAGGCAGUGAAUAUAAGAAGCAGAGUAGCAUAUAUCUAACCUGACCAAAUGGGGUGAGAGCAGCUGUCUCCCAAUAGAACACAUCUACAGUGGGGUGCAAAGAUUCAAAUUGUGUGCAAAAAAAGAAGAGGUCCUUGGUUUGCCUGUCCUACCUGAAAUCAGGAGUUUUUCUAAUGGGACCUAUCAGAAAUAAGCAGAUGAAAGAGAAAUGUAAUGAGCUGUGGAUGGAUCAGGGUUAUGCUGGCUUUUGAAGAGAAGGAAAAAUCUAGCAUCCAGCCCUGGAAAGUCUUAGAAGCUGCUGAUGGGGAAGCUGGAGAGAACAAAAUUAUGAAAUGGGAGCCUAAAUCAGAUUCACCAAGAUAACCACGUUUUACCCCAGGGAACAGCACCAUCAAGCAGGCUCACAGAGUGGCAGAAUCAACUAAUGCUGUUCUCAGAAAAAAUGAGAUAGCAGAGAGGUGAAGACAGCAGGGAACUGGAAAGAUGAGGAAGCAUCGGAAGUGAGCACUUGGUGAUUAUAACAGUUAGGCUUGGGGAUAUUCAGUUUGCUACCUUCAUAAUUACGGUUGUAUUUGGGUGAUAUAAGAUGGGCAAACCACAGCAUCCAGCAUUGUCCUGCUGGAGAGUCCUGGGGCCACGGCUGCGUCUGACUGUUCAUGAAUGAAAUGCAAAGUGGGCACAAGAUGAACUUAUUGUCCACAACAGCCUGAGCUCCUUCCUGAGGGGAAGUGGCACAUCAAUUUCACUCCUGGCCAAAUGACCGUAGCAGCAUAAAGUUUCUGGCAUAAAAUGGAAACCUGGGAAGCUGUCACAGCAACUCUGCCAAGGAUUAGAUUGCCUGGGCUGCACCAUCUUAAGGUAUUGCUUGAGCCUCCAAGGCUGACCAGCCAGAGCAACUGAGGAGAAAUGUACAACCCUUUUCUUGCAAGGCAUGAGGAGAGUGUGUGGGCUGUGCUGGGCAUCUCUGCAGCACAUUACUCUCUGUCACUUCUUAAUGGAUCCUCCUAUUCCUACACUGAGACAUACAUUAAAAAUGCCUUUUCUGUCCCCCCUUCCUUUUUCAAUCAGCCUGUGAAAGAGCUGCAGUUGAUGUUUAAGUGCCUGUAAUGUCACAUUGCCAAGCCUCCAAAGACUGCCAAGUAUCUCAGUAGAAAGCUUGGAUGUGAUGCGGUGUUUUUAAUGAUUAAGUUGCCUUUAUGAACAACAAAGGGUGCAAACACCAUGACAAACAUGACUGAUGUAAUGCAUUUACAAAUCAUUAUUUAAAACAAUAUUCACAAAAAAGGAAUGCCAACAAAACUACUUCAAAAUGUGUGAAAAUAAGUCCAAGUGAAAGUGUUGGGGGUCAGAUACAGUCUAUGAAAUCACCCAGAAGCUAAGCCUAUCUUGGGGCCAACAACAGCAAAUGGGUUUAAGCAAAACAGCCAUUUAUCUUGUUUUUUACAGUCUUGGCACUCCAUCUUAGCUGCCUAUGUCCAGUGUGUCUGCAGCCCUUACUGGAUAAAAUUAAUAGUCCCUGUCAGAUGCAAAGCAAUAAUUUUUUAUUUCAUGACCUAAUUGUUUUGUUUAAUUUUAAGUUAUAUAUGGAAUUUACUCUUUAAAUUGUAAAGAAACAUUGCAUAAAGUUCAGAUCAUAACAGCUAUAACUGGGGAAAACAAAACACAAAUCAGGCAUCAAUGAGACUGUCAUUCUGCAGAUAUGAAACGCUCUCUCUCAGUGACAUUAAACUGCAGAAAACUGAUGGUUUUGAAGUUUUAAAGGUACAGAAGCCAGUCUGUCCUUCUCAACAAUCUCCGCAUUCAAGGGACACAGGUUUCCCCAGCAGUGCACCAAAGGCACUCACCAGCCUGCAGAUGUGUUGAUCUUGAGCAUCCCAUUAAUAAAUCCUUCUAUGAAUAAAUCAUAGAAAAGAAAUCUUGAGCUAGCAGAAGAAUGACCAAACUGAUUUAGCUCUUUCCAAACCCAAAUUUAUCAAAAACCUAA